GACGAACGCUGGCGGCGUGCUUAACACAUGCAAGUCGAACGGAAAGGCCCUGCUUUUGUGGGGUGCUCGAGUGGCGAACGGGUGAGUAACAAGUGAGUAACCUGCCCUUGACUUUGGGAUAACUUCAGGAAACUGGGGCUAAUACCGGAUAGGAGCUCCUGCUGCAUGGUGGGGGUUGGAAAGUUUCGGCGGUUGGGGAUGGACUCGCGGCUUAUCAGCUUGUUGGUGGGGUAGUGGCUUACCAAGGCUUUGACGGGUAGCCGGCCUGAGAGGGUGACCGGCCACAUUGGGACUGAGCUACGGCCCAGACUCCUACGGGAGGCAGCAGUGGGGGAGAUUGCACGAUGGGCGGAAGCCUGAUGCGGCAACGCCGCGUGCGGGAUGACGGCCUUCGGGUUGUAUACCGCUUUCGCCUGUGACGAAGCGUGAGUGACGGUAAUGGGUAAAGAAGCACCGGCUAACUACGUG
This 468-nucleotide ribosomal RNA is filed under the name uncultured bacterium. RNAcentral's name for it is "partial 16S ribosomal RNA". It matches the Rfam family "Bacterial small subunit ribosomal RNA", at positions 28 to 507 of the family's 1533-position model. The record is from RNAcentral.